AUUCAGCCGACGAGCCUCAAAUAGGGCGAAACACCCGUCAAACUGGAU
This 48-nucleotide non-coding RNA is filed under the name Schistosoma haematobium. Lineage: Eukaryota; Metazoa; Platyhelminthes; Trematoda; Strigeidida; Schistosomatidae. The record is from RNAcentral.